RNAcentral lists this non-coding RNA (27 nucleotides) under Rattus norvegicus (Norway rat). Lineage: Eukaryota; Metazoa; Chordata; Mammalia; Rodentia; Muridae. The record is from RNAcentral.
UGAAUACUAUUAAAGCUUGACCUCAGG